This 603-nucleotide ribosomal RNA is filed under the name uncultured euryarchaeote. RNAcentral describes it as "bacterial SSU rRNA". It matches the Rfam family "Archaeal small subunit ribosomal RNA", at positions 697 to 1299 of the family's 1478-position model. The record is from RNAcentral. Lineage: Archaea; Methanobacteriati; Methanobacteriota.
GUGAGGGACGAAAGCUGAGGGAGCAAUCCGGAUUAGAUGCCCGAGUAGUCUCAGCUGUAAACGCUGUGAGCUAGGUGUCACAUAUUCUUCGGGAAUAUGUGGUGUCGAAAUGAAGAUGAUAAGCUCACCGCCUGGGAAGUAUGGUCGCAAGGCUGAAACUUAAAGGAAUUGGCGGGGGAGCACCACAAGAGGUGCGGCGUGCGGUUUAAUCUAAUUCAACACAGAGCAUCUCACCAGCAGCGACGGCAGGAUGAAGGUCAGCCUGAAGGGUUUACCUGACGAGCCGAGAGGUAGUGCAUGGCCGUCGUCAGCUCGUACCGUAAGGUGUCUUGUUAAGUCAAGCAACGAGCGAGACCUGUACCUACAAUUGCUAACAACUCUUUUAAGAGAUUUGAGCACAUUGUAGGAACUGCUCUGGAAACAGAGAGGAAGGUGCAGGCAACGAUAGGUCUGUAUGCUCCGAAUCUGCUGGGCUACACGCGCGCAACAAUGGUAAGGACAAUGUGAUGCAACUCUGAAAAGAGAAGCUAAUCCUCGAAACCUUAUCUUAGUCUAGAUUGAGGAUUGUAACUCAUCCUCAUGACAUUGGAAUCUCUAGUAAUC